This 512-nucleotide long non-coding RNA is filed under the name Phasianus colchicus (ring-necked pheasant). Its description in RNAcentral is "lncRNA (ENSPCLG00000010618.1)". The record is from RNAcentral. Lineage: Eukaryota; Metazoa; Chordata; Aves; Galliformes; Phasianidae.
UUUUUUCUCAUUGUGGGCCUGGAAAACUCCUUGCAGAGGCGGUCAGUGCUAAUUGGUGGUGUUUAAGCUCAGUGAGUGGCCAGCUGUGGUGAGAGGCAGCUCAGUAUAUCUCCUUCACCUGCAGUUAGGGAUUGAACUAUGAAGAAACAGCAUUGGAGUUAGCUGAGCAAUUCCAGGCUUUGGGAAGCUGCUGAAGGAGAAGCAGGAAGAGUGAGAGGCAAGAGGAGCGGUAAGGAAGGAGCAGGAGUGUGCUGAAGCUGUGCCUCACUGAUACUGUGAUCAGCUGCAUUUGGCUUGGCACUUCUGAGAAUCAUUAACUUCAGCAGGGCACCAGGGAAACUCAUCCUGUUUGGGAUCAUGAAGAUGGAAUCAGGUGCACGCAGAAAAUGCUGCUCAUUUCCCUCCUCCUGCGCUUCUGAGAACAGUUUUUGAGCUCAUGGCUCUUGCUAACUGUCACUUUGCUCUCCUGUCAGAAAAGAGUUUGUGGAGCAGUCUUGGCUGAGGAGACUUUA